UCCUGAAUCCUUGCGUGAUGGUCGUUACAAGAAAGAGUCUGAUAUAAUGAGUGCAGGAAUGGUGGCUUAUUAUGUUGCAACAAAAGUGGAACAUGCUUUUGGAACUAAAGAGAGUAUAUUAAAAAACUUGUUAAAUGGAAACCCUGUUGGCUUGAAGAAAAUCGAUGAUGUUCAACUUAAAGAUCUUCUCUCAUGGAUGCUACAGCAUAAGCCUGAACUCAGGCCAUCAGCCAACGAGGCGUUAAAACAUCCUUAUUUACAAUCCAAUGAGGAAAGUUUUGACAUGCUGUGUGAUGUUGGGAACCAACCGGAGAUAAAGCAACCACAAUAUCAAAAUUCAGAUGUUCGUGAGCAGUUGACUUAUCGCACAACAUGGAUGAAACGUAUCGAUGACGAAGUUUUGAAAGAUUUAAAAACAUUUUAAGUAAAAAACAAAGAAAGAACUGUAACAUACCAGUCUUCGUGGGCAAGUUGUUUGAGAUUCAUACCUAACGUUGAUCAUCACUGGCAUGAUAAACCUCGUCCACGUCUAUCGCCAUUUAUCAAGGAAGGCAACGAUAAAGAUUAUUUCAUUCAACGUUUUCCCGACUUCUUUUUAUAGUGCACAAAAUUAUUAGAACGACUAACUGGAAAGCAAGACCUAAAACAUUUUAUCUAAAACAUAAAUCCUGUGAAAAUUGAAGUAAGUCAAUGGAAAGAAAAGUGAAGAUAUUAUUGACAACCGUAAUCUUGAUGGAAAAUGAAGUAUAACAAACUCUUAACUAAUCAUGUGCCACUUUCUAAUUGUUAAUUUGAGCAACGACCAAGAAAUUGGUUCAUAAAGUCAUAUCAAGGAUUACUUGCAUGUAUAGUCACUGAAGAAUGGAUUAUUAAUAAACUUAAAUUCGAUCAUAUAUGUAUGUAAAGGUCUUAAUUGAUGUAGGGCGUGAAUGCAUGAAAAGUAAUUACGGAAAUGUGUGUAUUAAUUAUAGUCGUAGAGCAUCUUGCAAAUAGAUAUAAUGUUUGUUUUAUACUUCGUCAUAAAAGUUGAAUAUGUUAA
Xenia sp. Carnegie-2017 is the source of this 1039-nucleotide long non-coding RNA. RefSeq lists it as uncharacterized. The transcript has 3 exons. The record is from RefSeq and is a predicted model, not a curated record. Lineage: Eukaryota; Metazoa; Cnidaria; Anthozoa; Malacalcyonacea; Xeniidae.